GUAGUCCUGGCUGUAAACGAUGUCGACUUGGAGGUUGUGCCCUUGAGGCGUGGCUUCCGGAGCUAACGCGUUAAGUCGACCGCCUGGGGAGUACGGCCGCAAGGUUAAAACUCAAAUGAAUUGACGGGGGCCCGCACAAGCGGUGGAGCAUGUGGUUUAAUUCGAUGCAACGCGAAGAACCUUACCUGGUCUUGACAUCCACGGAAGUUUUCAGAGAUGAGAAUGUGCCUUCGGGAACCGUGAGACAGGUGCUGCAUGGCUGUCGUCAGCUCGUGUUGUGAAAUGUUGGGUUAAGUCCCGCAACGAGCGCAACCCUUAUCCUUUGUUGCCAGCGGUCCGGCCGGGAACUCAAAGGAGACUGUUAGUGAUAAACUGGAGGAAGGUGGGGAUGACGUCAAGUCAUCAUGGCCCUUACGACCAGGGCUACACACGUGCUACAAUGGCGCAUACAAAGAGAAGCGACCUCGCGAGAGCAAGCGGACCUCAUAAAGUGCGUCGUAGUCCGGAUUGGAGUCUGCAACUCGACUCCAUGAAGUCGGAAUCGCUAGUAAUCGUGGAUCAGAAUGCCACGGUGAAUACGUUCCCGGGCCUUGUACACACCGCCCGUCACACCAUGGGAGUGGGUUGCAAAAGAAGUAGGUAGCUUAACCUUCGGGAGGGCGCUUACCACUUUGUGAUUCAUGACUGGGGUGAAGUCGUAACAAGGUAACCGUAGGGGAACCUGCGGCUGGAUCACCUCC
RNAcentral lists this ribosomal RNA (740 nucleotides) under uncultured bacterium. Its description in RNAcentral is "bacterial SSU rRNA". It matches the Rfam family "Bacterial small subunit ribosomal RNA", at positions 790 to 1530 of the family's 1533-position model. The record is from RNAcentral.